UAUAUACUCAUGUAUUGAAUAAGACAAAGAUUAGCAAAGAAUUAUAUAAUAAAAUAUAUAUAUAAUUGUAUAUAUUUUUUAUACUAUUACUUAGCCUAUAUGGGCCCCUGCCUCCUUCAAAAAAAAAAAAAAAAAAAAAAUAUAUAUAUAUAUAUAUAUAAUUAAUCAGCCGAUUAAGUGAUAACUUGAUUAAGCGAUCAUUAUUAUACAAACAAGUGUAUAUACCUCUAGUGUCAGACAUAGUUUCCUAAAACAAUUUUAUAUGCACGUAUGUACACUUACGUAUGUAUAUUGUUAAUCGUUUUAUGCAUCUGAUUUAUUAAAAAAAGUAAACAUGAGUUUGUCAGACUUAAAUUUUUACAUAAAUAAGCAUAAAAAAGCUUAUGAAGCGAGGCAGAAAGAGCAGCUAAGUCAGAAAGGAACCCGAGAUAUUGAAAUUGAAGGCAAAAAGGAGGAAACAAAUGGAGGAGCAAAAUCGGUAAAUGAUGUAAUAGUGGCAAAAGUGACAAAUGAUGUAAUAGUGGCAAAAGUGGCAAAUGAUGUAAUAGUGGCAAAAGUGGCAAAUGAUGUAAUAGUGGCAAAAGUGGCAAAUGAAGCAAAAGCGACAAAUGAAGCAAGCAAAGUGUUAUACAAUAAUGUAGAUCAAGAAACAAGGGAUAAUAAACAAAAUGAAGAUGUUACAACAAAGGAGAACAUAAAUCAAGUUGAUGCUGAUUACUUAUAUGCCCUCAAGUUAUACGAAGCACUCAACCAUACACCUACACCGUACGAUUUACACGAUAAAAACAUUUUAAAUGAUGAGAAAAUUACAUCUUAUAAUGAGACCCCAAAUAUAAUUAAAGAUGAACAAGAUAUAAAUGAUUAUGUUAGACAACCUGAUAACACAUAUGUUGAAUGUCUAUUAAAUGACACAUCAAAUUAUCCUUAUUACUUAUCAGACAAUUCAAGGUAUAAUACUACUCCUACUGCUACUCCUAAUGCUACUCCUACUGCUAUUCCUACUGCUAUUCCUACUGCUAUUCCUACUGCUACUACUACUGCUACUACUACUGCUACUACUACUCCUACCAAUAAAAGAAGACAAGAUGCACUUGGAAGUAACAACUUUGAUUUAUCUAACAACAGUUAUAUUAUGAGUGAUAUAAAUAGAACCCGUAAUGAAAAUCCUAAUAAGACUAGGCACAUUUCAACCAUCAGUAUUAAUAGUAGUGAUAAUGAUAGUGGUAAUCGUAAAACUAAUCAUAAAAGUAUAAACACUCGUAAUAACAUGAACACUCGUAAUAAUAUGAACACUCGUAAUAAUAAUAACAAACAAAUGAAAAUAACAUCCAACAAGUCGAAAACAAAUGUCAAUUAUAAUAAUAAUAUUUUAAGUACUAAUAUGAAUUUAACGAGUGAUCAUUUUGAUCUUUUUAAAAAUAAUGAAUGUGAAGAAGUGCCUUCAGACGCGUCGGGUCAUGUCCACGCAGGUGUCGAUACGGAUGUUCAAACAUAUGUAUAUGCGAAUGUCGAAAUGGAUAAUGACAAGCGCAAAUCAACAACUAUAUCACAAAAUAAACAAAAUUCUAAAGAUUACAAAAACAAGGAUAUAAAUUAUUUAUCAAAACAUAAUAUUUAUACAGAUGGUAAUACACUUGUAAGUCCGAAAAUGUACACCAGAAAGAACACUGGAAAUAUUACGACUAACACUACAACUAACACUAUAACCAACAAUACGAUUAACACUAGGACCAACAAUACGACUAACACUAGGACCAACAAUACGANNNNNNNNNNUACGACUAACACUAGGACCAACAAUACGACUAACACUAGGACCAACACUACGAAUGAUAUUAAGAGAAAUACCACAAACAUAAAUGUUAAAAGAAGCAGUGACAUAGAUUCCUGCAAGAACAAAAGUAGACAUAUUAUUAGUAACAUUCCUUGUGUGUUUAUAGAUGAUCUUGACCGUAAUAAUAAAAAAAAAAAUAUAAAAAAAAGCGUUGAGACUUUAAAUACUAAUAGCAUUAAUUGUCAUAAUAAUAUUCAGGACACAGAUUGCAAUGAUAAAACCGAUAAACAGAUCGGAGGUAAUUAUACCAACAUAUAUAAAAACGGCCAAACUAGUAAUAAUAGUUAUAAAAAGAGACUUACAUGUGAAAACAAAAAACAACCUGAAUUUACUUAUAAUACACGAAGCUCUAAUAAUAAAAAUAAUCACAAUAAUGCUACUGUUAUAAAUCAUUUGAAUAAAAAUAUAAAAAACACACAUGAUAUAUACAAUAUGAAUAGAAAAGAAUACAAACCACAUGAUAAAAAAAGAAGUAAACAAAAUAAUAUUUCUGUUAUUAAUAACAGCAGUAGUAGUAGUAGUAGUAGUAAUACUAUUCCCCUCACUCCAAAUAAAAAUUUUAUAUUUCGAACCAAAAAUAAUAUUAAUACAUACGAUACAUAUGACCUAACGUCAUCAUCUUCCAUAUAUAAAAUCAAUACAAAUAGAAAUAAAGACACGUGUUAAAAUUUAAAUAAAGUUAAUCAUACUAGUUUUAAUAACA
RNAcentral lists this long non-coding RNA (2537 nucleotides) under Piliocolobus tephrosceles (Ugandan red Colobus). Its description in RNAcentral is "lncRNA (ENSPTEG00000003486.1)". Lineage: Eukaryota; Metazoa; Chordata; Mammalia; Primates; Cercopithecidae. The record is from RNAcentral.